Molecule: ribosomal RNA, 254 nt
Filed under: uncultured bacterium
Lineage: Bacteria
Description: partial 16S ribosomal RNA
Rfam family: Bacterial small subunit ribosomal RNA
Source: RNAcentral
UACGUAGGGACCAAGCGUUGUUCGGAUUUACUGGGCGUAAAGGGCGCGUAGGCGGCUUGACAAGUCACUUGUGAAAUCUCCGGGCUUAACUCGGAACGGCCAAGUGAAACUGUCAUGCUGGAGUGCAGAAGGGGCAAUCGGAAUUCUUGGUGUAGCGGUGAAAUGCGUAGAUAUCAAGAGGAACACCUGAGGUGAAGACGGGGUUGCUGGGCUGACACUGACGCUGAGGCGCGAAAGCCAGGGGAGCAAACGGG